This 450-nucleotide ribosomal RNA is filed under the name uncultured bacterium. RNAcentral describes it as "partial 16S ribosomal RNA". It matches the Rfam family "Bacterial small subunit ribosomal RNA", at positions 354 to 796 of the family's 1533-position model. The record is from RNAcentral.
GUGGGGAAUAUUGGACAAUGGGCGAAAGCCUGAUCCAGCCAUGCCGCGUGUGUGAAGAAGGUCUUCGGAUUGUAAAGCACAUUAAGUUGGGAGGAAGGGCAGUAAGUUAAUACCUUGCUGUUUUGACGUUACCGACAGAAUAAGCACCGGCUAACUUCGUGCCAGCAGCCGCGGUAAUACGAAGGGUGCAAGCGUUAAUCGGAAUUACUGGGCGUAAAGCGCGCGUAGGUGGUUUUGUAAGUUGGAGGUGAAAUCCCCGGGCUCAACCUGGGAACUGCCUACAAAACUGCAUGACUAGAGUACGGUAGAGGGUAGUGGAAUUUCCUGUGUAGCGGUGAAAUGCGUAGAUAUAGGAAGGAACACCAGUGGCGAAGGCGACUACCUGGACUGAUACUGACACUGAGGUGCGAAAGCGUGGGGAGCAAACAGGAUUAGAUACCCGAGUAGUCC